GACGAACUUUGGCGGCGUGCUUAACACAUGCAAGUCGAACGGAAAGGCCCUGCUUUUGUGGGGUGCUCGAGUGGCGAACGGGUGGGUAACACGUGAGUAACCUGCCCUUGACUUUGGGAUAACUUCAGGAAACUGGGGCUAAUACCGGAUAGGAGCUCCUGCUGCAUGGUGGGGGUUGGAAAGUUUCGGCGGUUGGGGAUGGACUCGCGGCUUAUCAGCUUGUUGGUGGGGUAGUGGCUUACCAAGGCUUUGACGGGUAGCCGGCCUGAGAGGGUGACCGGCCACAUUGGGACUGAGAUACGGCCCAGACUCCUACGGGAGGCAGCAGUGGGGAAUAUUGCACAAUGGGCGGAAGCCUGAUGCAGCAACGCCGCGUGCGGGAUGACGGCCUUCGGGUUGUAAACCGCUUUCGCCUGUGACGAAGCGUGAGUGACGGUAAUGGGUAAAGAAGCACCGGCUAACUACGUGCCAGCAGCCGCGGUGAUACGUAGGGUGCGAGCGUUGUCCGGAUUUAUUGGGCGUAAAGGGCUCGUAGGUGGUUGAUCGCGUCGGAAGUGUAAUCUUGGGGCUUAACCCUGAGCGUGCUUUCGAUACGGGUUGACUUGAGGAAGGUAGGGGAGAAUGGAAUUCCUGGUGGAGCGGUGGAAUGCGCAGAUAUCAGGAGGAACACCAGUGGCGAAGGCGGUUCUCUGGGCCUUUCCUGACGCUGAGGAGCGAAAGCGUGGGGAGCGAACAGGCUUAGAUACCCUGGUAGUCCACGCUGUAAACGGUGGGUACUAGGUGUGGGGUCCAUUCCACGGGUUCCGUGCCGUAGCUAACGCUUUAAGUACCCCGCCUGGGGAGUACAGCCGCAAGGCUAAAACUCAAAGGAAUUGGCGGGGCCCCGCACAAGCGGCGGAGCAUGCGGAUUAAUUCGAUGCAACGCGUAGAACCUUACCUGGGUUUGACAUGGAUCGGGAGUGCUCAGAGAUGGGUGUGCCUCUUUUGGGGUCGGUUCACAGGUGGUGCAUGGCUGUCGUCAGCUCGUGUCGUGAGAUGUUGGGUUAAGCCCCGCAACGAGCGCAACCCUUGUUCACUGUUGCCAGCACGUUAUGGUGGGGACUCAGUGGAGACCGCCGGGGUCAACUCGGAGGAAGGUGGGGAUGACGUCAAGUCAUCAUGCCCCUUAUGUCCAGGGCUUCACGCAUGCUACAAUGGCUGGUACAGAGAGUGGCGAGCCUGUGAAGGUGAGCGAAUCUCGGAAAGCCGGUCUCAGUUCGGAUUGGGGUCUGCAACUCGACCUCAUGAAGUCGGAGUCGCUAGUAAUCGCAGAUCAGCAACGCUGCGGUGAAUACGUUCCCGGGGCU
This 1346-nucleotide ribosomal RNA is filed under the name uncultured bacterium. Its description in RNAcentral is "partial 16S ribosomal RNA". It matches the Rfam family "Bacterial small subunit ribosomal RNA", at positions 28 to 1381 of the family's 1533-position model. The record is from RNAcentral.